UACGAAGGGGGCUAGCGUUGCUCGGAAUGACUGGGCGUAAAGCGCACGUAGGCGGCUCUUUAAGUCGGAGGUGAAAUCCUGGAGCUCAACUCCAGAACUGCCUUCGAUACUGAAGAGCUCGAGUCCGGGAGAGGUGAGUGGAACUGCGAGUGUAGAGGUGAAAUUCGUAGAUAUUCGCAAGAACACCAGUGGCGAAGGCGGCUCACUGGCCCGGUACUGACGCUGAGGUGCGAAAGCGUGGGGAGCAAACAGGG
This 254-nucleotide ribosomal RNA is filed under the name uncultured bacterium. RNAcentral's name for it is "partial 16S ribosomal RNA". It matches the Rfam family "Bacterial small subunit ribosomal RNA", at positions 524 to 777 of the family's 1533-position model. The record is from RNAcentral.